CGAAUGCUGACAUAAGUAACGAUAAAGCGGGUGAAAAGCCCGCUCGCCGGAAGACCAAGGGUUCCUGUCCAACGUUAAUCGGGGCAGGGUGAGUCGACCCCUAAGGCGAGGCCGAAAGGCGUAGUCGAUGGGAAACAGGUUAAUAUUCCUGUACUUGGUGUUACUGCGAAGGGGGGACGGAGAAGGCUAUGUUGGCCGGGCGACGGUUGUCCCGGUUUAAGCGUGUAGGCUGGUUUUCCAGGCAAAUCCGGAAAAUCAAGGCUGAGGCGUGAUGACGAGGCACUACGGUGCUGAAGCAACAAAUGCCCUGCUUCCAGGAAAAGCCUCUAAGCAUCAGGUAACAUCAAAUCGUACCCCAAACCGACACAGGUGGUCAGGUAGAGAAUACCAAGGCGCUUGAGAGAACUCGGGUGAAGGAACUAGGCAAAAUGGUGCCGUAACUUCGGGAGAAGGCACGCUGAUAUGUAGGUGAGGUCCCUCGCGGAUGGAGCUGAAAUCAGUCGAAGAUACCAGCUGGCUGCAACUGUUUAUUAAAAACACAGCACUGUGCAAACACGAAA
RNAcentral lists this ribosomal RNA (560 nucleotides) under Escherichia coli. RNAcentral describes it as "partial 23S ribosomal RNA". It matches the Rfam family "Bacterial large subunit ribosomal RNA", at positions 1291 to 1836 of the family's 2925-position model. The record is from RNAcentral. Lineage: Bacteria; Pseudomonadati; Pseudomonadota; Gammaproteobacteria; Enterobacterales; Enterobacteriaceae.